CCUACGGGAGGUAGCAGUAGGGAAUUUUGCGCAAUGGGCGAACGCCUGACGCAGCAACGCCGCGUGAACGAGACGCCCUUCGGGGUGUAAAGUUCUUUCAGUGGGGACGAAAGAUGACGGUACCCACAGAGGAAGCACCGGCUAACUACGUUCCAGCAGCCGCGGUAAUACGUAGGGGGCAAGCGUUAUCUGGAUUUACUGGGUGUAAAGGGCGCGUAGACGGUUAUGUAAGUCUGGAGUGAAAGCCCGUGGGCCAACCCCCGGACUGCUUUUGAAACUGGGUAACUGGAGUACAGGAGGGGGAGGCGGAAUUUCCGGGGUAGCGGUGAAAUGCGUAGAGAUCAGGAAGAACACCGGGGGGGAAGGCGGGCCUCUGGACUGAAACUGACGUUGAGGCUCGAAAGCGUGGGGAGCAAACAGGAUUAGAUACCCCUGUAGUC
Molecule: ribosomal RNA, 440 nt
Filed under: uncultured bacterium
Lineage: Bacteria
Description: partial 16S ribosomal RNA
Rfam family: Bacterial small subunit ribosomal RNA
Source: RNAcentral